AUGUACCGUAUGUGGCAGACCUCUGAAAACUUUCCCAUUUCUCUUAUUCCAAGUAUUCCAGCAUCCAAGAAUAACUAUUUCUGUGGCAAGUUGUUGCGGAAUUUUUCUAUCGCCAGUAGUGUUUCCUCGUAUAUUGAAGUACCUCUUGCCUUAUGGGAAUUAGAGUGUUCCAACAAUCCUGUGCAAAAUUACAGUCCCAAAGCAGGUGAAGGGCUAUCUCUUCAGCAUUCUGAUUGUAGUUUCGGCAGUGAGGAUUGUUCAGUUGCACGCCUUUUCUCUGUAGGAGUGAUCUGGUGUUGA
Molecule: ribosomal RNA, 300 nt
Filed under: Triticum aestivum (bread wheat)
Lineage: Eukaryota; Viridiplantae; Streptophyta; Magnoliopsida; Poales; Poaceae
Description: partial small subunit ribosomal RNA
Source: RNAcentral